UACAGAGGUCCCAAGCGUUGUUCGGAUUCACUGGGCGUAAAGGGUGCGUAGGUGGCGUCGUAAGUCAGGUGUGAAAUCUCGGGGCUCAACCCCGAAACUGCACUUGAUACUGCGAUGCUCGAGUACUGGAGAGGAGAUUGGAAUUUACGGUGUAGCAGUGAAAUGCGUAGAUAUCGUAAGGAAGACCAGUGGCGAAGGCGAAUCUCUGGCCUGUAACUGACGCUGAGGCGCGAAAGCGUGGGGAGCAAACAGG
RNAcentral lists this ribosomal RNA (253 nucleotides) under uncultured bacterium. RNAcentral describes it as "partial 16S ribosomal RNA". It matches the Rfam family "Bacterial small subunit ribosomal RNA", at positions 524 to 776 of the family's 1533-position model. The record is from RNAcentral.